RNAcentral lists this small RNA (31 nucleotides) under Bombyx mori (domestic silkworm). Its description in RNAcentral is "ovarian small RNA-13636". The record is from RNAcentral. Lineage: Eukaryota; Metazoa; Arthropoda; Insecta; Lepidoptera; Bombycidae.
CCCAGUCGAAACCGAUGUCCCACAGGAGUGG